RNAcentral lists this long non-coding RNA (1653 nucleotides) under Monodelphis domestica (gray short-tailed opossum). RNAcentral's name for it is "lncRNA (ENSMODG00000043104.1)". Lineage: Eukaryota; Metazoa; Chordata; Mammalia; Didelphimorphia; Didelphidae. The record is from RNAcentral.
UCAGAUGAGAUGUGUGAAUAUAGAACAUAUAAGUCCAUUAAUUUUGACUAAUUGGGCUAAGUCCAACUAGGAUUUGUAAAAAGUCUCAUUUAUAGAAUUUAUGACUUGAGAUGAUCUCUGGGAUAGAUUAUGGUAGGACUCUACAGUAUCCCUGCAGUCAGGAGGUGGAAGCAGAAUACUCUGUAGUUAGUGUAAAGAUAGAAUUAUCUCUCUGUCUAUUUUAAUGAAAUCAAUCAGCAACCUUUAACUCAAUCAAUCAAGAACUCAAAGCACUCCUACUCAACACUUAAGUAAGAGAGUUCACAAGUCAAAAGCUCUCACCUCCAAAGGGGACUGCCCAGCCCUGGGUAGGACUAAGCAAAUUGAAAGACAGCAAUUGUUUUCUAUGAAGAAGAGGGAAGAGACUGGAAAUGAUGUAGGAAAAGAGCAUAAAAGAAGAGAAGAGCAUGGCCUUCUACCAUUCCUUUCCUGGCUUUUGGGGAGAUUGUUUCCAGAGAUUCCUACCUUGCUUUGGAGGAGACUCUUUCCCUGGAUUCUGAGUGGUAAGAUAUGCGGCAAGGUGAUCUCCAAGUGGGAUAUUGGAGGGCGUUAUAUAGAGGAAUAAAAGGAGAGAAGAUUUGGAUGUCAUAAUGGAGAAUACAUUAUUCAAUCAGCUGCUCACAUAUUGGUAAGAGAGGAGACAGACAGACACAGAGAGAGAUCUACAAUUCCGCGGUCUGCAAUGUUUGACCUAUUAGCUCCAUGCUCCAUUUAUCUGCGGAGGUUUGCAGAUGUUACCUUGGCCCUGCUGCAAUCAGUGGAAUGAGGUAACUAGAAAAGACUGCAAGCAGUAGGCAGGAGGAAAGAGGGAAAGGAAGAUGUUUGGGAACUCUGUUUUUAUUGACCAGAGGAAAAAGGGAAAAAAGGACUUGAAGAUGAAGUACUUGUUAGUGAAUUAACUUUUUUAGGUGAUUGGGACAACUCAGUCUCCUUUUGCUUUGGUCAUUUAUCUAUUUUUCCAUUCUCCUUUAGUGUGGAAUCCAUGGAAUGGGAAGAGAUCAGACCCCUAACCUUUGGGGGAUGGCCAUUGAAAGCAGAACUGGUGACUUGCAUGGGAGCAUCUUGCUUGUUUGGGGAGCAUCACUGCUGAUGCAUUUCUUUGGCUUUGCAAUGCUUGCUCUUUUAAGUAUUUGUUACUUUAAAUUUUGUUCUUUUCUGUUAGUAUAAAAUUAAGUGUUUUUUUUUUUUACCUGACUGGAUCAAAAAGAAGUAAGGAAUUUUUAGAGGGAUGAAGGCAUAGGUCAAUGGGACUAGAGCAUGGGGGGCAUGAGGAGAAGUAUUUUACCCUCAAAGCAACUACAUACUAUUCGCUGUUACAGAAAUAGAGAAGGAACAGCCAAGGAAGAAAAAUAUCAUUCUUUAUUCUACCUGAGUUUGUAGACCUUGAAGCUUGCCCUUCCCCUCCUGUCAAUGCCAAUCUUUGGGGGCAUUGAUACCAUAGCUCUGCUAUCCAUGCUUGCUAAUCUUACACAUUAGGCUUGAUUUGGUUACCUCCUGCCAGCCUUUUGAGAGAGGAGCUUGCUCUGAUUGACUGUUGUGUGCUGGAAGCAAUUAACUGCAGUAUCCUGAUUUCUCACAGUUCUAAAGAUGAGACCAUGGAGGUUCAUAUGUAGA